RNAcentral lists this signal recognition particle RNA (98 nucleotides) under uncultured Prevotella sp. RNAcentral describes it as "Bacteroidales small SRP". It matches the Rfam family "Bacteroidales small SRP", at positions 9 to 102 of the family's 107-position model. Rfam says of the family: The non-coding component of the signal recognition particle in Bacteroides Lineage: Bacteria; Pseudomonadati; Bacteroidota; Bacteroidia; Bacteroidales; Prevotellaceae. The record is from RNAcentral.
ACGGGCAGUCCUGUACGGUCAGCUCCCUCGGAAUCCCCCAGGAUGGGAACGUAGCAAGGGUACUUGGUCGUAGCGACGCGAUGCAGACCGCUGCCCAC